GUUAGCACUGAACAAAGGACACUCACCAUGGACUUAGGGCUCAUAUUGGUUUUCUUUGUCCUUAUUUUAAAAGGUGUCCAGUGUGAAGUGCAGUUGUUGGAGUCUGGCGGAGGCUUAGUGCAACCAGGAAAGUCCCGGAAACUCUCCUGUGCAGCAUCUGGAUUCACCUUUAGUAAUUAUGGCAUGACUUGGGUCCGCCAGGCUCCAGGGAAGGGGCUGGAGUGGAUGGCAUACAUUAGUAGUGGUGGUGGUAGCAUCUGGUAUACCGACGCUGUGAAGGGCCGGUUCACAAUCUCCAGAGACAAUGCCAAGAAUACUCUGUACCUGGAAAUGAGCAGUCUGAGGUCUGAGGACACAGCCAUGUAUUACUGUGCAACAGACACAGUGAGUGAAUGCUACUGUGAGCUCAGACACAAAUACCUGGAACACAGGACCAGCAGGGGGCGCUGA
Molecule: non-coding RNA, 450 nt
Organism: Arvicola amphibius (Eurasian water vole)
Lineage: Eukaryota; Metazoa; Chordata; Mammalia; Rodentia; Cricetidae
Source: the annotation of a RefSeq genome assembly